This 440-nucleotide ribosomal RNA is filed under the name uncultured bacterium. Its description in RNAcentral is "partial 16S ribosomal RNA". It matches the Rfam family "Bacterial small subunit ribosomal RNA", at positions 338 to 795 of the family's 1533-position model. The record is from RNAcentral.
CCUACGGGAGGCAGCAGUGGGGGAUAUUGCACAAUGGGGGAAACCCUGAUGCAGCGACGCCGCGUGGGUGAAGAAGCGCCUCGGCGCGUAAAGCCCUGUCAGCAGGGAAGAAAAUGACGGUACCUGAAGAAGAAGCCCCGGCUAACUACGUGCCAGCAGCCGCGGUAAUACGUAGGGGGCAAGCGUUAUCCGGAUUUACUGGGUGUAAAGGGGGCGCAGACGGCGAUGCAAGCCAGGAGUGAAAGCCCGGGGCCCAACCCCGGGACUGCUCGUGGAACUGCGUGGCUAGAGUGCAGGAGGGGCAGGCGGAAGUCCGGGUGUAGCGAUGAAAUGCGUAGAUAUCAGGAGGAACACCGGUGGCGAAGGCGGCCUGCUGGACUGCAACUGACGUUGAGGCCCGAAAGCGUGGGGAGCAAACAGGAUUAGAUACCCGAGUAGUC